AAGUGGGAAAUAGGGGAAGAAGAAAUCAGCAUUGGAUAGAAAUAGACACUAUAGUUUCAGAGCUCAUUCCUCCCCUUGGUGUUAUCAGGGAGGGGAACAUGGAUCAGGACACCUUGGGGAGCCCACUGGCAAGACAGGAGUAGCAGUCAGAUGAGGUUAAGGCCUGAAUUUCACAGGUGUAGGGGACUCCAGGUGAGGAAUUUCCCUUACCAAGAGAAUCACUACCUGCUGUGACAUUUACCGCCCUAUGGAGUUAUCUGUUGAACACUGAGAGGAAAAGUGACUGGAGAUUGUGUAGAGGAUCAAGUGCUGGCCUUGCUGUUGGGAGAGCUACGCUUGAGUCCUGCCUCUGACACCAAUUGUGUGACCCUCAACAAGCCACGUGAGACUCUCUGACCCUCGGUUUCCUCAUCUGUGAGACGGGGAUAAUGAUGGUACCUACCUCACAGGGAAGUUAUGGGAGGACCAGA
Non-coding RNA from Phascolarctos cinereus (koala), 470 nucleotides. The record is from RefSeq and is a predicted model, not a curated record. NCBI's taxonomy places the organism in Eukaryota, Metazoa, Chordata, Mammalia, Diprotodontia, Phascolarctidae.